RNAcentral lists this small RNA (91 nucleotides) under Caulobacter vibrioides NA1000. RNAcentral describes it as "small non-coding RNA". Lineage: Bacteria; Pseudomonadati; Pseudomonadota; Alphaproteobacteria; Caulobacterales; Caulobacteraceae. The record is from RNAcentral.
GCCCUUCGGUCGGUCCCGGGGGGGCAAGCUCAGGAUGAGGAUUUUGUGCAGACCGAGGCCAACAGACGUCCUCACCCUGAGCUUGUCGAAG